This is a long non-coding RNA of Pseudophryne corroboree (corroboree frog), 1724 nucleotides long. RefSeq lists it as uncharacterized. The record is from RefSeq and is a predicted model, not a curated record. The transcript has 4 exons. Lineage: Eukaryota; Metazoa; Chordata; Amphibia; Anura; Myobatrachidae.
UGGGGCGGGUGGAGCUGCAGCUCCAGGCCCCCCCGUGAAAAUAGGCAGAGACAGCGAUGGUAGACAUCGGUGACAAGAAAAACUAUUUUUCUGUCACCGUCAGAGUCCGUCUGAAGAACCGUGCACCUUCUCCCUCGCACCCCGGCCUCCACCCCACCUAGUGGCCAUAUACACUACAGCGGCACCAUCUCCGUGACGCCAGUGCAGUAGUAUGCACACUCACUGUGCGCCUUUGCCGGAUCUAGUGCUACUGUUAGGCUGUCCGCGGGUGGAAACAAAACAGGAGGAGCCGGAACAGCCUCUCCCCGCCACUCGCGUUUCCUCCCGGUCCUCUGCUGCCUCCUCCCUCCCUGACUGGCCUCGGCGUUGGGAUCCGCUGCAGCCGGCGCCACUGACUAACGGACCUGCUUUUGCUGAAGUUACAGAGCCGCCUGCAGGGGAAAAGAGAGAAGAAGAAGAGCUGCUGAGAGGUAUGCAGCAAAGGCAGCAGCAGAGGCAGGGAGACAACAGCAACAAGCACCUGGCUGUGCAGAGGAUGACAGACCUGGGAUCAGUGCCCAGACAGACAACAGGAUGAGUCAAAUAACACACAAACCACAGGCUAACCAGCAACCAGUAGUCAAUCUCAGCCAACACAAGAAAAAGAGAAAAAAAGACAACAACCCCCUUUUGGAAGGAGGGAGCUGGACAUUCUAGUCCCUCAAGCCAUGGACCAAAUCCAUCAUGGUCCUCGAAAAAUAUGGGAGCUGCCACAAGGGAGCGCAUCUGGCAAGAAAUAAUUGAUGCAGUCAAUGUUGAGGCGCCCAUUGUCCGCACAUCGCAAAAAAUUAGAAGACGAUGGGCUAACUUCAAAUGCCGGCUAAAGAUGAAGAUGGGUGCCCGGUGGCGCCAUGUGAGGAUGACGAGUGGGGGCAGACUCCCUGAGAACUUAGCAUACACUGCCUUGGAGGAGAUGGCCUUGAGCUGUGUGGCAGAUGAGGAGGUGGUAGGUGUGUUGGAGAUGGACACCGACAUGCCUGCCAUAGAAACUCUGCAUGCUGAGCAAGAGCCAGAAGUUCAGCUCACACAGCCUGGGAUGCGUGUCUCUGAAAGUAAGUCUGAGGGGGACCCACCAUCACCACCCCAGAUGGUGGACACUCAUGCCCCCCUCCCACACACACACUAACAACUGGGAGCUCCUGCUUGCUAUUGAACAGCAGGGAAACCAUACAGAAGAGUUCCAGCAGCAGGUGCUACUCAUGUUUCGUGAGCUGAACUCCACCUUCAGGAGCAGCAUGCAUGAGAUCCUCUCCCUUUUAGGCCCCAUUGCUCAAGGGAUGCAGGCCAUUGCAUCCCUCCAGGCACAAAGUCUCAGGGAUUCUACAUCAUCUGCCCCAUCCCCCAGCCCUGGCCAGGAACAACAUCUCUCUGGCCAGGGCACGCACAGGUCAUCUCGCAGAAGCCACUUCCCCCGAGCCUCCCAUCAGCUAGCCAAAAAAAGAGGCUGAUGUUGAUUUUUCUUGCCAGAGGUGCGUCCACAAAUUGGUAGUCCCAUUUUUCUUUUGGCUUGAGUGACUAGAAAAUGCAGCUCCUUCCUGCCAAAUUGGUAUUGUGUUGGCUGAGAUUGGCUACCGGGCACUGUGAUGUACUUCUCUUCAUGGCCAGGUGUUUGCUGAUGUCUUUAUUUGACAAAUAUAUGCCUCUGCUUAUUUUUCCUUUAAUAAUAAAACAUGUUUACCAAAAUA